UGCCAGGUGUAUGUUUCUGAUGUAGGUCA
This 29-nucleotide non-coding RNA is filed under the name Mus musculus (house mouse). The record is from RNAcentral. Lineage: Eukaryota; Metazoa; Chordata; Mammalia; Rodentia; Muridae.